UAGAGUUUGAUGCCUGGCUCACAAUCAACGCUGUGCGGCGCGCCUAACACAUGCGAGUCGAGCGAGAAAGUCCGCUUCGGUGGAUGAGUACAGCGGCGCACGGGUGAGUAACACGUGGGUAACCUGCCCUUCAGUGGGGGAUAACCCGGGGAAACCUGGGCUAAUACCGCAUAAUAUCCCGCCGACCUCGGUGGGCGGGAUCAAAGGAGCAAUUCGCUAGAGGAGGGGCCCGCGGCCGAUUAGCUUGUUGGCGGGGUGACGGCCCACCAAGGCAAAGAUCGGUAGCCGGUCUGAGAGGACGCACGGCCACACUGGGACUGAAACACGGCCCAGACUCCUACGGGAGGCAGCAGCGGGGAAUCUUGCACAAUGGGGGAAACCCUGAUGCAGCGACGCCGCGUGAGCGAAGAAGCCCUUCGGGGUGUAAAGCUCUUUCGGCGGGGACGAAUCUGACGGUACCCGCAAAAGAAGCCCCGGCUAACUACGUGCCAGCAGCCGCGGUAAUACGUAGGGGGCCAGCGUUGUUCGGAAUUACUGGGCGUAAAGGGCGCGUAGGCGGUGCGGCAGGUUCGGUGUGAAAUCUCCCGGCUCAACCGGGAGGGGUCGCCGAAAACGGUCGUGCUGGAGUACGGGAGAGGGGAGUGGAAUUCCCGGUGCAGCGGUGAAAUGCGUAGAUAUCGGGAGGAGCACCAGCGGCGAAGGCGGCUCCCUGGACCGUGACUGACGCUGAGGCGCGAAAGCUAGGGGAGCAAACAGGAUUAGAUACCCUGGUAGUCCUAGCCCUAAACGAUGCUCACUGGGCGUGGCGCGCCUUGCGCGCGCCGUGCCGAAGCUAACGCGUUAAGUGAGCCGCCUGGGGAGUACGGUCGCAAGGCUGAAACUCAAAGGAAUUGACGGGGGCCCGCACAAGCGGUGGAGCAUGUGGAUUAAUUCGACGCAACGCGAAGAACCUUACCUGGGCUCGAACGGCCGUGGACCGGGGUGGAAACACCCUUUUCCCGCAAGGGACUGCGGUCGAGGUGCUGCAUGGCUGUCGUCAGCUCGUGUCGUGAGAUGUUGGGUUAAGUCCCGCAACGAGCGCAACCCUUGUCCCUAGUUGCCAGCGUUAAGUCGGGCACUUUAGGGAGACUGCCGGCGACAAGCCGGAGGAAGGUGGGGAUGACGUCAAGUCCUCAUGGCCUUUAUGUCCAGGGCUACACACGUGCUACAAUGGACGGUACAGAGCGUCGCCAACCCGCGAGGGGGAGCCAAUCGUUUAAAGCCGUCCUUAGUUCGGAUUGCAGUCUGCAACUCGACUGCAUGAAGCUGGAAUCGCUAGUAAUGGCGCAUCAGCAGGGCGCCGUGAAUACGUUCUCGGGCCUUGUACACACCGCCCGUCACAUCACGAAAGUGGGCUGUACUAGAAGUCCUGAUCCCAACCGCAAGGAGGGUAAGGCCCUAAGGUAUGGUUCAUGAUUGGGGUGAAGUCGUAACAAGGUAACC
This 1482-nucleotide ribosomal RNA is filed under the name uncultured Acidobacterium sp. Its description in RNAcentral is "bacterial SSU rRNA". It matches the Rfam family "Bacterial small subunit ribosomal RNA". The record is from RNAcentral. Lineage: Bacteria; Pseudomonadati; Acidobacteriota; Terriglobia; Terriglobales; Acidobacteriaceae.